RNAcentral lists this ribosomal RNA (253 nucleotides) under uncultured bacterium. Its description in RNAcentral is "partial 16S ribosomal RNA". It matches the Rfam family "Bacterial small subunit ribosomal RNA", at positions 524 to 776 of the family's 1533-position model. The record is from RNAcentral.
UACGAAGGGUGCAAGCGUUACUCGGAAUUACUGGGCGUAAAGCGUGCGUAGGUGGUUUGUUAAGUCUGUUGUGAAAGCCCCGGGCUCAACCUGGGAAUGGCAAUGGAUACUGGCAAGCUAGAGUGCGGUAGAGGGUAGUGGAAUUCCCGGUGUAGCGGUGAAAUGCGUAGGGAUCGGGAGGAACACCAGUGGCGAAGGCGGCUACCUGGACCAGCACUGACACUGAGGCACGAAAGCGUGGGGAGCAAACAGG